Molecule: ribosomal RNA, 105 nt
Filed under: Colobus angolensis palliatus
Lineage: Eukaryota; Metazoa; Chordata; Mammalia; Primates; Cercopithecidae
Source: RNAcentral
GUCUGGAGCCCUUCGACCCUGGCUUGAUCUUGGAAGCUUAAGCAGGGUAGGGACUGGCUAGAACUUGGAUGGGAGACUGCCUGGGAAAACCAGGUGCUCAAAAAC